AAGGUAGCGAAAUUCCUUGUCGGGUAAGUUCCGACCUGCACGAAUGGCGUAACGAUGGCGGCGCUGUCUCCACCCGAGACUCAGUGAAAUUGAAAUCGCUGUGAAGAUGCAGUGUAUCCGCGGCUAGACGGAAAGACCCCGUGAACCUUUACUAUAGCUUUGCACUGGACUUUGAAUUUGCUUGUGUAGGAUAGGUGGGAGGCUUUGAAGCGUGGACGCCAGUCUGCGUGGAGCCAUCCUUGAAAUACCACCCUGGCAACUUUGAGGUUCUAACUCAGGUCCGUCAUCCGGAUCGAGGACAGUGUAUGGUGGGUAGUUUGACUGGGGCGGUCUCCUCCUAAAGAGUAACGGAGGAGUACGAAGGUGCGCUCAGACCGGUCGGAAAUCGGUCGUAGAGUAUAAAGGCAAAAGCGCGCUUGACUGCGAGACAGACACGUCGAGCAGGUACGAAAGUAGGUCUUAGUGAUCCGGUGGUUCUGAAUGGAAGGGCCAUCGCUCAACGGAUAAAAGGUACUCCGGGGAUAACAGGCUGAUACCGCCCAAGAGUUCAUAUCGACGGCGGUGUUUGGCACCUCGAUGUCGGCUCAUCACAUCCUGGGGCUGAAGCCGGUCCCAAGGGUAUGGCUGUUCGCCAUUUAAAGUGGUACGCGAGCUGGGUUUAGAACGUCGUGAGACAGUUCGGUCCCUAUCUGCCGUGGACGUUUGAGAUUUGAGAGGGGCUGCUCCUAGUACGAGAGGACCGGAGUGGACGAACCUCUGGUGUUCCGGUUGUCACGCCAGUGGCAUUGCCGGGUAGCUAUGUUCGGAAAAGAUAACCGCUGAAAGCAUCUAAGCGGGAAACUUGCCUCAAGAUGAGAUCUCACUGGAGCCUUGAGCUCCCUGAAGGGCCGUCGAAGACUACGACGUUGAUAGGCAGGGUGUGUAAGCGCUGUGAGGCGUUGAGCUAACCUGUACUAAUUGCCCGUGAGGCUUGACCAUAUAACACCCAAGCAAUU
This 995-nucleotide ribosomal RNA is filed under the name Mesorhizobium sp. RNAcentral's name for it is "partial 23S ribosomal RNA". It matches the Rfam family "Bacterial large subunit ribosomal RNA", at positions 1953 to 2925 of the family's 2925-position model. The record is from RNAcentral. Lineage: Bacteria; Pseudomonadati; Pseudomonadota; Alphaproteobacteria; Hyphomicrobiales; Phyllobacteriaceae.